GGCCCGUUGGAGAAACGGUUAACUCAUAUGCCUUUCACGCAUACAUUCACGGGUUCGAACCCCGUACGGGUCACCA
This 76-nucleotide transfer RNA is filed under the name Firmicutes bacterium HGW-Firmicutes-10. Its description in RNAcentral is "tRNA-Glu". It matches the Rfam family "tRNA". From Rfam's summary of the family: Transfer RNA (tRNA) molecules are approximately 80 nucleotides in length. Their secondary structure includes four short double-helical elements and three loops (D, anti-codon, and T loops). Lineage: Bacteria; Bacillati; Bacillota. The record is from RNAcentral. RNAcentral also lists the same sequence under 1 other name.